GGCCUGGUAGCUCAACCGGAUAGAGCAACUGCCUUCUAAGCAGUAGGUAGACAGUUCGAGUCUGUCCCAGGCUGCCA
RNAcentral lists this transfer RNA (77 nucleotides) under Lentisphaerae bacterium ADurb.Bin082. RNAcentral's name for it is "tRNA-Arg". It matches the Rfam family "tRNA". Rfam says of the family: Transfer RNA (tRNA) molecules are approximately 80 nucleotides in length. Their secondary structure includes four short double-helical elements and three loops (D, anti-codon, and T loops). Lineage: Bacteria; Pseudomonadati; Lentisphaerota. RNAcentral also lists the same sequence under 2 other names. The record is from RNAcentral.